CCGACAUGACACAGCACCACCUAGCAGGGAUUACUCCUGAUCUAUUCACAAAAAAACGACCUUAAUUUAUCAUUCAUAUUGGUAGCAAUAAAAUUUUAUGUAGCUACACAGGUGACAGGUUGGUAAUAGUAACUAUAUAUAACAUGACAAAUGCUGUCUGUGUAUACUAGAAACCAGUACUCUUCAUCUGCAAAAAAGUACCAGUACACCAGUACUCUAAUAAUUUGCUCUCGAUUGAAUGCGUACUGAUAUAGUACAUAGAUAUCCAGUUGUAUACUAGAAAAUGUACAUCAAGUCACUCGAAAUCUGCUGCCAGAGAAUAGUGCCAUGCUCAACCUGGAAAGAACUGCUAGCAGCCUACUCUAGUUUCCAACAGCAAUCUCUUCAAAGUUCCAGUCCCUGACGAGAUCCCGUGAAACAGCACGGCUUCGUUGAAGUCGAGGAGCACCCUCAGUGCCUUGGCCAGUAGCCAUUAGAGGAAAAGGGGUCACCUUUGAUGUCCCUACAGUGUUAGCAGUUCCAGCAGGCAUUACUCGUCGUGUUAGGCAGGCAACAACAGCUCCACAUCUGUUCUCCUCCUCUGAACUUGAGACUGAAUAGCUUCUGAAAGAGUGCGAGGGGCUGCUCAUGCCAUGGCAUACUAGGCAAGCUAGACUCAUGGUUACAAUCCAGCUAAAAUCGCUCUUGUUCCUGUAAAAAGAAAGGCAAUGCAUACAAGAAAAUAAGCAACAGGAGGAACACAAUUCUAUGAAUGUCAAGCAAUAAUGAACUUUUUUCCCAUUAAGCUAUACUUUGUGAAAGCAAGAUGUACAGAAGACUAUGUUUUGUAACUGCAAUGUUAGUGAAACCAAAGGACAAGGGGUGGUGCGCUCUUGCAGGGCCAGGAAGGAUUGCUUCGUUAAUAGAUUGUUAAAUUAUCUGAAAAAUUCUAGCAAUUAGCUAGAAAAUAGUCCUCAUGUUGGACAACCGAAGCUUCACACCGCAUACAUCAAAAGGGGCACAAACUCUAAGACAGAUAGAACUAAGAAAGCAAGGGGCAAACAAUUCAAAGAUUUUUGCUUAAGCAAGAAAAUGAGAUAUCUCAAACAUGAACCCCACAACAAUUAACUAAAAUGAAAGUCAUGUAUAUUAUAGUUACGCUGUUGCAUCAUGGGUGUCAGUGUCAGUUCCAGAUUGCAUUAGCUCAACCAUUGGAAAGUGGCAAUGUCUGAUUAAAUGAAUAAUCAUUGUUUUGCAAGUUGCAUAAAAUCUAUAAUUAACCAACAUUAUCUUUUGCUAUCCAGAAAGCAACCCCAGCAUGAAUACCAUACAAAAAACAGCCCUUGACAAACUGGUAAAGCAUAUUCUUCAUUUCCUACAUAAACCUGGGCAUUUGACCGCUGAUUAGCAAAUAAGGCAAAAGAUUAUUGCAGUAUUAGCUUGGACAUGUCAUUAAAACAAAAGCCAGGUGGCAAAUUAUCCAAAAAAAUGAAGGCGCCGGUUUGAAAGGCAGAACCAUUCAAUUUAGCACCAAGGAUUUCCGAUGGAGAAAAACAUAAGAUCUCGCAACAAAAUUAUAAAGCACGUCACUUUCUCACACUAAACCUCACAACAGGUUCAAUAGGAACAUGUACAAUGCUCCAAUCCUUACCACGAAGCGCGAACACAAUCACUUUACAGAAACGAAGAUUCCCGAACAACGAAAACGCGAGUGGCAUGGGGUUCAGUUGAACCCCCAGUUUUUUUUUUUUUUUUGGGGGGGGGGGGGAACGAACAAAAACUGUUACUAGCAGCUUCCAGAUCCAGGUAGAGAAGCUAGGGCUAACGCGAAUUCGACACAAAGUGUGGGUACAUAUAACCAGACGAGAAUCAGGAUGGCGGACGACACUCACCAGCGAGCGAGGACGCGGCCGCCGGCACCGCUGCCCGUCGCCGGACAGAGACCGCCGCAGACGAGGCGGCGGCGGGGGGGCGGAGACUCGCGACGAGGCCCUCCUCCUCCUCCUCCGCGAGCCGAGGCCGCUCCGACCGGCUCGGGCUCACCGGCGCGAGGCGUCGAGUUCGAGCCCCGGAGAGAGAGAGAGGGAUCUUGGUGGGAAGAGAGAGAGAGGCGCGGCCGCGGGUAGGAGAGAGAGAAAGACGCUGGCUUUAUU
This 2132-nucleotide long non-coding RNA is filed under the name Oryza brachyantha (malo sina). RNAcentral's name for it is "long non-coding RNA (OBRA_LNC000280)". The record is from RNAcentral. Lineage: Eukaryota; Viridiplantae; Streptophyta; Magnoliopsida; Poales; Poaceae.